Molecule: ribosomal RNA, 530 nt
Filed under: Nakaseomyces glabratus
Lineage: Eukaryota; Fungi; Ascomycota; Saccharomycetes; Saccharomycetales; Saccharomycetaceae
Description: eukaryotic LSU rRNA
Rfam family: Eukaryotic large subunit ribosomal RNA
Source: RNAcentral
UCUGGUACCUUUGGUGCCCGAGUUGUAAUUUGGAGAGUACCACUUUGGGACUGUACUUUGCCUAUGUUCCUUGGAACAGGACGUCAUGGAGGGUGAGAAUCCCGUGUGGCGAGGGUGUCAGUUCUUUGUAAAGGGUGCUCGAAGAGUCGAGUUGUUUGGGAAUGCAGCUCUAAGUGGGUGGUAAAUUCCAUCUAAAGCUAAAUACAGGCGAGAGACCGAUAGCGAACAAGUACAGUGAUGGAAAGAUGAAAAGAACUUUGAAAAGAGAGUGAAAAAGUACGUGAAAUUGUUGAAAGGGAAGGGCAUUUGAUCAGACAUGGUGUUUUGCGCCCCUUGCCUCUCGUGGGCUUGGGACUCUCGCAGCUCACUGGGCCAGCAUCGGUUUUGGCGGCCGGAAAAAACCUAGGGAAUGUGGCUCUGCGCCUCGGUGUAGAGUGUUAUAGCCCUGGGGAAUACGGCCAGCCGGGACCGAGGACUGCGAUACUUGUUAUCUAGGAUGCUGGCAUAAUGGUUAUAUGCCGCCCGUCUUG